This 406-nucleotide long non-coding RNA is filed under the name Pavo cristatus (Indian peafowl). RNAcentral describes it as "lncRNA (ENSPSTG00000007365.1)". Lineage: Eukaryota; Metazoa; Chordata; Aves; Galliformes; Phasianidae. The record is from RNAcentral.
AGAGAAGGGCUGUUUGUGUGACCCAGUGACCAUGUGGCCCCAGCUACAAUAGUGUUAUGGUAGUCUUUCUCAAAAGGAUAUCUUGGUGAAAUAAUAUCGAUGUGUAAACAUACUUCUUUUUUCAUAAAGGACUGCAUUUGUUCUUCUGAAUAGCAUUGCUGUUUUGGUGUUCUCAGCCAACGUUAUACACUGUUGGUCUUUACUGGUGAAUAAGAAGGCCCUGUUAAAAUUAAAAGGAGAGAGCAAGUUUUCCCAACAGACUUCAGAAGGAUAUACUCCUAAGAAAUCCCUCUAAAUUACAGUCAUUUGGAGAAAAUGGAGGAAUGAAACCCAGGAAAUAUAUGAAAAAACUGUCUAUUGCUGGUAUCUAUCCACAAAAAAGAAAACAAACAAGAAACCAUUUCAG